GCAAGUCGAACGAACCAAUCAUUAAUAGCAAUAUCGAUGUGCGGUAAGUGGCGAACGGGUGAGUAACCCCUAAAUAAUCUCCCUUUCAAACGGGGACAACGCAGGGAAACUUGUGCUAAUACCCGAUGAGACUACGUUAUGGGAAUAAUGUAGCCAAAGGGGGGCUUCGGCUCUUGCUGGAAGAUGAGUCUAUGUUCUAUCAGCUAGUUGGUGGGGUAAGAGCCUACCAAGGCUAAGACGGAUAGCCGGCCUGAGAGGGUGAAC
This 264-nucleotide ribosomal RNA is filed under the name uncultured bacterium. RNAcentral's name for it is "partial 16S ribosomal RNA". It matches the Rfam family "Bacterial small subunit ribosomal RNA", at positions 57 to 305 of the family's 1533-position model. The record is from RNAcentral.